GACGGCAGAUGAAGAAGAGUCAUGCCUUCUUCCCUGUUCUUUCAUCCAAUUCUCCCAAUUUUGCCCUCAAUUCCAUGUAUACAAGUAUGUGUUCCCUGCCAUCGACGUUUCUUAUCCUUCACCCAUUUCAAUUCAACAUAUUGAAUGUUAUAACUUAUAAACAACCUUCUUGAACGGGAGAAUCAACCAUCGUUGCUUCAAUUUCCCUCAACCCUAAUCAACCAAAACGCCGCUGAUGAACAACCGUCAGUUAUGGCCUUUCAAUUGAGGCGUGAUUGAAACCAAUUGAAGACGCGAAUUGAAUCCGCCCCUUCGCUUCCAGACCCCACCCCCUUUAAACUCAACAUAUUAUCAUUCAGGAUGUGACACCUGCGACUUCAGUUGCUUAUUAUCAGGUAAGGGUUUCCAAUGGUACAUUACAUGAGCCAUCACCAAAUAUAACAGAAAGACAUUGACCUGGAGGCAUCCCCUCACCGGAUUUAUGUAUUUCUAUCUACACAUAAGGUUUAUGAGCUGCUUUCUAAGUCUAGCAAGGUCUAAUAUGAUUAUUGGUUUUUCAAUAAAGGAAUUUCAUCAUCAUCAUCAUCCGCAUCAUGUGGCGAUUCAGUAUCAUCAUCAGCAGCAUAAUCAUAUGGUCAUCAGCGACAGUUUAAUGGUGGUGGCACAGGGUAUCUGGAUCAGAAGGAUGUUUCGGUUUUGUAGCGGGCAGUUCAUGGAGAUUUGGAGGUGAAAGAUGGGCUAACUGAUGAAUCUACUCAGAAGAUUGUUAAUCAGGCAGGGUUUUGGUUUAUUUUCUAUACGGUUUUAUAUGUUUUUGAUAUGUUUUUAUUUUCCUGAAUUUUACUGUAUUGAUACUUUAAUUUUGUGCUGUUGUGUGUUGAUGAUAGAGAUGUGAAUUAUGAUUUAA
Molecule: long non-coding RNA, 907 nt
Organism: Helianthus annuus (common sunflower)
Lineage: Eukaryota; Viridiplantae; Streptophyta; Magnoliopsida; Asterales; Asteraceae
Exons: 2
Source: RefSeq, a predicted model, not a curated record